UACAGAGGUCUCAAGCGUUGUUCGGAUUCAUUGGGCGUAAAGGGUGCGUAGGCGGCGGGGUAAGUCGGGUGUGAAAUCUCAGGGCUCAACCCUGAAACUGCACUCGAUACUGCUCUGCUUGAGGACUGGAGAGGAGACUGGAAUUCACGGUGUAGCAGUGAAAUGCGUAGAGAUCGUGAGGAAGACCAGUGGCGAAGGCGGGUCUCUGGACAGUUCCUGACGCUGAGGCGCGAAGGCCAGGGGAGCAAACGGG
This 253-nucleotide ribosomal RNA is filed under the name uncultured bacterium. Its description in RNAcentral is "partial 16S ribosomal RNA". It matches the Rfam family "Bacterial small subunit ribosomal RNA", at positions 524 to 776 of the family's 1533-position model. The record is from RNAcentral.